This 696-nucleotide non-coding RNA is filed under the name Hypsosinga pygmaea. The record is from RNAcentral. Lineage: Eukaryota; Metazoa; Arthropoda; Arachnida; Araneae; Araneidae.
UUAUGCUUAAAAGCAGUUUAAAAGUAUAUAGAUUUAAAUUAAACAUUCAAUUAUUUAACGAAAUUUUUAAUAUCUAAAUACAUUAAAAAUGAUAAAAGUUGUAAAUUAAUUUUAUUAGCUAAAUAUAGUGCCAGCAGCUGCGGUUAAACUAUAAAUAAACUUAUACAAAAAUAAUCUUAAAAAAAAUAUUUUAACAAAAAUAAAUAUUAAGUAAAAUUUUAUUUAAAAUUUAAAAAAAUAUCUUUAUAGAAAAAAUUAAAAACGUAAAACAGGAUUAGAUACCCUUUUAUAUUUUAACCAUUCUUAGGUAGUAUAUUAUUACUUAAAAACCUAUGUAUUUUGGCGGCAUUUAUUCAUCUUAGAGGAACCUGUAUAUUAAUCGAUUCUCCACGAUAUUUUUCACUUUUGUUUAAAUUUUAUAUACCUCCAUCAAAAGGAUUAAUAUUGACAUUAUCCCCUAAUAGAUACUCUAUAAUGUUAGGUAAAGGUGUAGAAUAUAUAAAAGAUUAUAUGGGUUACAAUAAAUUUUAUCUAAGGAUAAAUAAAAAAAUUUAUUAUAGAAAGAGGAUUUAUUAGUAUUGAUUUAAAUAAUAUUUAUAAACGAAUAAGAUAAAAAAUGUGCACAUAUCGCCCGUCACCCUUAUCAAAAGGUAAGGCAAGUCGUAACACAGUUGAUGUUUUGGAAAAAGCAUCAAG